This is a long non-coding RNA of Felis catus (domestic cat), 360 nucleotides long. RefSeq lists it as uncharacterized. The transcript has 3 exons. The record is from RefSeq and is a predicted model, not a curated record. NCBI's taxonomy places the organism in Eukaryota, Metazoa, Chordata, Mammalia, Carnivora, Felidae.
GCAGGGGAGGAGCAGAGAGGGAGACACAGAAUCCAAAGCAGGCUUCAGGCUCUGAGCUGUCAGCACAGAGCCCGAUGCGGGCCUCGAACCCACGAACUGUGAGAUCAUGACCUCAGCCGAAGUCAGGCACCCUGCAUGUAAUCCACUCGUUAUGUACUAGUGUGUCUUUGACCUGAAAUUACAUUGGAAGAAGCUGGAAUUAAACGAAAAAACGGAAAAGAGCAAAGUAACUGCAAAACUGUGUGUGAUCACCCAGAACACAGUGUGGAAAGGCCAUUUAAACAACACUGAAAAGCUCCAUACUUCCACCUUUUGGGAUUCUGCUGACCUAGAGGUAAGAUUGUUUUUUUUUUUUCUUAA